ACGUGCCAGCANCCGCGUNAAUACGUAGGUGGCAAGCGUUUUCCGGAUUUACUGGGCGUAAAGAGCGCGCAGGCGGUCGGAUCAGUCGAAUGUGAAAGCCCCCGGCUCAACUGGGGAGGGUCAUUCGUUACUGUCCGACUCGAAGGCAGGAGAGGGAAGCGGAAUUCCCGGUGUAGUGGUGAAAUGCGUAGAUAUCGGGAGGAACACCAGUGGCGAAGGCGGCUUUCUGGCCUGUUCUUGACGCUGAGGCGCGAAAGCUAGGGGAGCGAACGGGAUUAGAUACCCCGGUAGUCCUANCCGUAAACGAUGGACACUAGGUGUUGGUGGUAUCAACCCCACCAGUGCCGUAGCUAACGCAUUAAGUGUCCCGCCUGG
Molecule: ribosomal RNA, 375 nt
Filed under: uncultured bacterium #0319-7G6
Lineage: Bacteria; Bacillati; Chloroflexota
Description: bacterial SSU rRNA
Rfam family: Bacterial small subunit ribosomal RNA
Source: RNAcentral